Molecule: ribosomal RNA, 992 nt
Filed under: Priestia aryabhattai
Lineage: Bacteria; Bacillati; Bacillota; Bacilli; Caryophanales; Bacillaceae
Description: bacterial SSU rRNA
Rfam family: Bacterial small subunit ribosomal RNA
Source: RNAcentral
AAANGGGCAGCCUAAUGCAUUGCAACGUCGAGCGAACUGAUUAGAAGCUUGCUUCUAUGACGUUAGCGGCGGACGGGUGAGUAACACGUGGGCAACCUGCCUGUAAGACUGGGAUAACUUCGGGAAACCGAAGCUAAUACCGGAUAGGAUCUUCUCCUUCAUGGGAGAUGAUUGAAAGAUGGUUUCGGCUAUCACUUACAGAUGGGCCCGCGGUGCAUUAGCUAGUUGGUGAGGUAACGGCUCACCAAGGCAACGAUGCAUAGCCGACCUGAGAGGGUGAUCGGCCACACUGGGACUGAGACACGGCCCAGACUCCUACGGGAGGCAGCAGUAGGGAAUCUUCCGCAAUGGACGAAAGUCUGACGGAGCAACGCCGCGUGAGUGAUGAAGGCUUUCGGGUCGUAAAACUCUGUUGUUAGGGAAGAACAAGUACGAGAGUAACUGCUCGUACCUUGACGGUACCUAACCAGAAAGCCACGGCUAACUACGUGCCAGCAGCCGCGGUAAUACGUAGGUGGCAAGCGUUAUCCGGAAUUAUUGGGCGUAAAGCGCGCGCAGGCGGUUUCUUAAGUCUGAUGUGAAAGCCCACGGCUCAACCGUGGAGGGUCAUUGGAAACUGGGGAACUUGAGUGCAGAAGAGAAAAGCGGAAUUCCACGUGUAGCGGUGAAAUGCGUAGAGAUGUGGAGGAACACCAGUGGCGAAGGCGGCUUUUUGGUCUGUAACUGACGCUGAGGCGCGAAAGCGUGGGGAGCAAACAGGAUUAAAUACCCUGGUAGUCCACGCCGUAAACAAUGAGUGCUAAGUGUGAGAGGGUUUCCGCCCUUUAGUGCUGCAGCUAACGCAUUAAGCACUCCGCCUGGGGAGUACGGUCGCAGGACUGAUNCUCAAAAGAAUUAAACGGCGGGCCGCCCCAACCAGUGGAGCAAGUGGUUGAUUUCAAAGCAACGCCAAGAAACAUAACCAGGUCGUGACUGCCACUGACAACUCCAAA